CCUGGAAGAAAUGGCGAACAUUUGAACCGAAGAAGUGCACCUGAUAGAAUAUUUAAAUUCAUUGAUUUUUAUUAAUAACAGGAUUGACAAGUAGUAAAUAAGUUUAAGGUAAGUUGAUAAUAAACUGUUUUCGGGGUUGACAAUCGUGAAACAUGUAUAUUUGUCGAGAAACUUCAUCUAAAAUCACGUGCAUAUAUUUACAACUUCUUUAUUUUGAUUGCAUCUUGCCCUACUUACAAAAGUUUAAAAGUUUUGUGUAUCAAUAGUUAUAAUUUACAAAUGUCUUCUUAUGAUAUGCCUAUUAAACACAACUUUCGAAAUUGCAAAGAAAUAAAAGCGGAAAGGUGUUGAAAAGAUUUGAAAAAAAUAAAGCAUUAUAACUUAUAAAGACAAGAAAUAACUGUGUCAGCUGUAACGGUUGCAUUUUCUUUGUUUUCCUUUAUAUAUGAUAGUAAAUAAGUAUAUAAGGAAGAUAAUUCAGUUAAUCAAGUAAAAAGAUGUAAAACAACACAAACAAAUAAUCUUAACUUUAUAGAAAAAAUAGCUUGUAACUGUUUAACUUUUUAAAAGUUAUGUUUUAUGAUGUAUUUCCUCACAUUGACAUUAUAAUUAAUGAACUAUUUCCUAAAUGCAAAGAUAGAUUUGUAUGUAUAUAGUUUAAAAGCAUCAAUACUGUUACCAUUUCCUUUUUAUCUUAAUAAUCAAUUAAAAUUGGCAUGUUCUGUAAUAGGGCACCUGUGUGUUUUAUUCACAUGUAUUGUUUAGAUCUAUGAUCAGCUGGUAUUGACUAAUUAAUGCCAAGUGUGUACAUUCCAUAGUAAAAAUGUAAAUCUAGACGCUCCAUUCAAAGUAUCAUAUGUACAAGAUGGCUGUGUUAUUGAUAUAAAUAGUAACAACUUAAUUUAAUAAUUCCUUUAAGGGUGUGUUUUAUAAUGAGCCAAAUGACCUUCAGUCCUUCCUGGAGUGUUUACAUGCACAAAACAUUUAUAAUUGGCUUUUAAUUAUGAUCAAUAGAUCCAUAGUGCUAUAGACUGGUUAUAAAAAGGUUUAAAUACACCUCAUGGACUGUAAAAGAUUUAAAAAAAAUAUAAUGAUAUCAUUCAACUUUACAUCUUUGUUGUAUGAUAUGAUUUCAGGUAAUGGCAUUUUAGUAAAGGUUUUAAAAAAUAAACAAAGAUUUACCGGUCUAUUAGGACAAGGACUCACAAAGUGACAAAACCAAACUUUUCCAAUAAUUAGUUUUGUGGGCUGUAGAUUGCGGAUACAAUAGCCCAGGAAAAAUCUCCAAUAUCAUAUGCCUAGAGAAGGUAGUAGUAUCAUCAUGUGAACCCUUACAUGGUAAUUUAUUAGAAAAUAAAGGUGAUCACUGGUAUAAUUUUUGUGUAGGACUAUGAUUCUGCCCAGAAAUCAUGCCAUAACAGACUCAGACAAUCAUCUGAUGUUCAACCAAACCAUUAUGCCACAACCAAAACUUACAGUCAUAUAAUGUCUAAUUUCACCAAACCAUUAUGCCACAACCGACACUUACAGUCAUGUGUUAUCUGAUUUCACCAAACCAUUAUGCCACAAUCAAAACUUACAAUCAUAUGUUGUCUGAUUUCACCAAACCAUUAUGCCACAGCCAAAACUUAGUCAUAUGAUGUCUAAUUUCACCAAACCAUUAUGCCACAACCAAAACUUACAGUCAUAUGUUGUCUGAUUUCACCAAACCAUUAUGCCACAGCCAAAACUUAGUCAUAUGUUGUCUGAUUUCACCAAACCAUUAUGCCACAGCCAAAACUUACAGUCAUAUAAUGUCUAAUUUCACCAAUCCAUUAUGCCACAACCAAAACUUACAGUCAUAUGUUUUUGAUUUCACCAAUCCAUUAUGCCACAACCAAAACUUACAGUCAUAUGUUUUUGAUUUCACCAAGCCAUGAUGACGAAACUGAAACUUACAGUCAUAUAUCUGAUUCAAACACGCAAUUAUGCCACAACAGACACUGACAGUCAUAUGUUGUCUUGAUUCCAACAAGAAAUUUGCAACAACAGACAACAUACUCUGACAAUUAUCUUUUGUCUGAUUUUACCAAGCAAUUAUGUCCCCAGACAUCAAACUCUGACUAUCAUCUGGAGUCUAAUUCCACCAACCAAUUAUAUCCCCACAGACAUCAAACUCUGAAUAUCAUCUUAUGUCUGAAUCCACCAACCAAUUAUGUCCCCACAGACACCAAACUCUGAAAAUUAUCUAGUGUCUGAAUCCACCAACCAAUUUUGUCCCCACAGUCAUCAAACUUUAAAAUCAUCUGGUGUCCUAUUCCACCAACCAAUUAUGUCCCCACAGACAUCAAACUUUGACUAUCAUCUGGAGUCUGAUCCCACUUACCAAUUAUGUCCUCACAGACAUCAAACUUUGACUAUCGUCAUGUGUCUGAUUCCACCAACCUAUUAUGUCCCAUAGACAUCAAACUCUGACAAUCAUCUGGUGUCUGAAUCAACCAACCAAUUAUGUCCCCACAGACAUCAAACUUUGACUAUCAUCAGGUGUCUGAUCCCACAAACCAAUUAUUCCCCACAGACAUCAAACUUUGACUAUCAUCUGGUGUCUGAUUCCACCAACCAAUUAUGUCCCAACAGACAUCAAACUCUGACAAUCAUCUGGUGUCUGAUUCCACAAACCAAUUAUGUCCCCACAGACAUCAAACUUUGACAAUCAUCUGGUGUCUGAUUCCACGAACCAAUUAUGUCCCAACAGACAUCAAACUUUGACAAUCAUCUGGUGUCUGAUUCCACAAACCAAUUAUGUCCCAACAGACAUCGAACUUUGACAAUCAUCUGGUGUCUGAUUCCACCAACCAAUUAUUCCAAACAGACAUCAAACUUUGACUAUCAUCUGGUGUCUGAUUCCACCAACCAAUUAUGUCUCCACAGACAUCAAACUCUGACAAUCAUCUGGUGUCUGAUUCCACCAACCAAUUAUUCCCCACAGACACCAAACUCUGACAAUCAUCUGGUGUCUGAUUACACCAACCAAUUAUGUCUCCACAGACACCAAACUCUGACAAUCAUCUGGUGUCUGAUUUCACCAACCAAUUAUGUCCCCACAGACAUCAAUCUCUGAAAAUCAUCUGGUGUCUGAUUCCACCAACAUAUUAUUCCCCACAGACACCAAACUCUGACAAUCAUCUGGUGUCUGAUUCCACCAGCCAAUUAUUCCCCACAGACAUCAAACUUUGACUAUCAUCUGGUGUCUGAUUCCACCAACCAAUUAUUCCCCACAGACAUCAAACUUUGACUAUCAUCUGGUGUCUGAUUCCACCAACCAAUUAUGUCUCCACAAACACCAAACUCUGAAAAUCAUCUGGUGUCUGAUUCCACCAACCAAUUAUGUCCCCACAAACACCAAACUCUGAAAAUUAUCUGAUGUCUGAUUCCACCAGUAAUUCUAUUCAAAUAGGCAAAUUGUGUACACUACAGUUUAAUCUGUAACUGUAUGUUCACCUCUUAUAUUAAUGUCUUUUUUGCUCAAUGUAUUCACAUCUUUUUUGUUUGUGUCCCAUAUGUUAUAUGUUGUUUAGCUUAAUUUUGUAAUUCUGUUCUGGUUAACAGUGACAUACUGUUACAUAUGUCUAAUGUUUAACUCUGCACACAAACCAUUUCUCUUGUGCAAUAGUCAAAAUUCAGUCAUCUUUUUCUUUAUUAAACCAUCAAUGCCAAAUUUAUGCAAAUUGUGAACUUUAAAUAUUGGAAAAUUAUAAAAUUUGUAUUAUCAAAUUCUUUUAUUUUUUUUUAUUUUAGUGUGAUAACCAUACCUUAGCAUUUCUAUACAGUAUUUCGUCAGCCAUUCAGCCACAAGAUUUUAUUCUUCCGUUCUUCUUUGUGUUACAUGAAUGAGGAUAAUUUCACAAGUUAGUGUUAGAUAAAUUGCAAUGGAAUAUUUUAUCAUGAAAAAAUGCAUAAUAAUUUUCUUGUGCAAUUUCUUUUAAAAAACCUAACAUUUGCCCACUGAUUUUAACAGUUGUGAUAUAUUUUAUAGAUAUAAAUCACACAAUGGCAUUCCUGGUCUCAGCAUAAAGUAAGAAAGUUUUCACAGGUGAGUCUGAAAUGAUACAUAUCUACCAAAUUUAAUUAAGUUACAUUUUGAUAAGUUAAUAAUGUAUAAUUGAGGUGACAACCGAUUUAGAAUCGUGGUUCAAUAGGUGUGCAUAUAUCUGUGUGUUAAUGGAGUAAUGUUAAGGCUUUUACAAAUAUAAUAAAAUAGUCAAUCAUUUGGUUUUACCUGGAAAGCGUAGAAAAAAUGACAGAUUCUGGGAUAUGAUUUAUGUGUAUUACUUCAGAGAUUUUUUUGAGAUAUGUACAGAGGCAGUUUUUCUUUAAGGUCAGUUUAGAAAUAUUUUCUUCUUAGUAAAUGUGGUAUUGACUUUUGAUAUACCUUUUUGUAGUAAUUAGUCAUGUUUGUAUCAUGCCUUUGAUCUGUACUUAUUACAGAAAACAGGUGUAAACAGAUUGAUUGGAUUAUGGUAAAGUUAUGAAAGUUGAGAUCCUUGGGGAGGGAUCUAGUGUGGGAAUUUUUGAAAACUGAGAUAUUUUGGGAGGGGUCUAUAAACUAACUAUGAAUGAAGAUGUCAUAAAAAUUAUCAGAAGAGAUGUUUGGAUUAAUAUAAUAAGAGAGGGUGUAGAGAGUGGACUGUUAACAAGAUAUUAGUUGUGAUGCCAUAAUUAUAUUUAUUUGAUAAGCAUAUUAUUGCUUACAUGUUCUGAACAUUUAUUUAGAAUACAUUUAAAGUGAAUCAAGUUGGAAGUAGUUUAUAUAUAAUUGUAAAGCAUGGAUUGCUUAUAAACUGUUAGAUUAGUUAAUGGGAUUUUGAUACUUUUCCACUAUCAAAAUAAUUUGAGAUUUUAAUUACUGUUGAAGAACCCUGUUGAUUCUUGACUGAAUAUCUCAAUUAACAUGAUUUACAGUAUGUUCAUGUUAAGUGUUGACAGUCCAUUUGAAAUUUUGAUGUAAUUUUUAUUAGUAUUAAAAGCAAAGGAGUAAAGUAUCCAGAUUAUUUUUAAGUUAAUUUUGUAAAACAGUUUCCCCAUAUUGAGCCCCACAUGCAUGAAAGUAAGAGAAAGAAUGCUGCAUUAUCUGUAGUAAAUUGACUACUCAGCUGUGUUUUGGCAGUUGUAAGAUUAUUGUGUGAUUCACUUACAUUUAUCACUAAACACAUAAUUUACAAAAAAAAAAGAAAUUGUAAACACACAAAGAUAGGAAUUAUUAGAUACAUUUACUGAAAAGUUCAACUUAAUCAAUUUUAUAGCUUCAAACUUAAAGUUUUUGUACACAAAUUACUUCAAAACAAAGUGUAUUUUUUGUUGGACUAAAGGUGACUUUUCAUGAUGAAAUAUACUUUUGUGUUGCCUUUUAAUACCUUAUUUUAUAGAAUAAAAUCAUGGAGGUUCUUUGUCAUUGAAUCUUGUUUCUUGGUCUUUACCACAUUUUUUUUUACUCACUUAGGUCAAGUUUUCAUGACUUUAAAUAUAUUCCUCAAUACCAUAUUGGGUAUUAUAUCUAUGUCAAUACUAAACUUUAAAGGUCAAAAAUAUAUGAUGUGAGACAUAUAUGUUUGUCAAACAUGCCUAUAUCUAUGUAUGACCUGAUCUUUGUUCACCCUGCUGUGGUCAGUUGAGGUCUUUUACUUUGCUCUAUACAUUAUAAGAUGUUAUUAGUCAACAAUAUUUGAUAUAUGAAUUGGUUGGGAGGAGAAAAUGUCCAAUUGACAUAUGUUUUAUAGCUUUGACCUCAUCCUGAAGUGUAAGAGGACAAGUGUACCAAACAGGUUUCAUUUGACCUUGGCAUAUAUAGGUUUUAAUUACUGGUACUUUAAAGUAUUGCAAAAUGUGAGGCAGUGUACCAACUCUUGUUUUCAAAUUUUAUCAGUCUAUUGAAAACCAACCCCAAGAUAUUAACAGUACAGGGGUGUAGGAAAUUAUUGAUAACAUGUAUUCAAUUCCUACAGAAAUUGUAUAACAAGUAGACACCUUCAAAAUAGAACUGAUCAUAUAAAACUUACUGAUAUUUCAAAGUAAAUACUUCCUUCAAAUCUAUAUUUCUGUUGAUUAUUUUUCAUUUGUGCACUUUUGUAAAAAAUAAAACAUUGUUUUAUAAACAAAAUCAAGUAGUAUUUAAUAAUCUUUGUCCUCCUAACCCAGGACAAAAAGGGGGGGGUUCCAACUACAUGUCCUCAUUUAAAUGCAUUGAUCGUAAAAAAAAAUGGUGGUGGGUUCCAUUCCCGGAAACUCCGCCUCCUGGAUCUGCCACUGCUCUAUCCGUCACACACACACGCACACAUCCAGGCUGUCGACUGCCUGUCUAAAUGGACCUUUCACAGAUUCAAUAUAACAUGGACAGCUGAAGUAAAACUAAGAUUGUUUCCAACAGAAAUAAGGAUACUUUAGAUUACGUCACUAUCUAGUAGAACACUAAUUAUUCAGGUUUUUAGAUAACUUAUAAUGUUAUAUCUGUAGUAUGACCCAAUUCAAAUCAGGACAAUUCAUUUUUUGAAUUAAGGCUGUUAAAGUAUUUUAAUAACAUUUUUAUUACCAAAUAAAGAGGUACAAAAACACCCCACUGCUUAUAAGGAAGUAAUAUCCUUAGAUAAUGUAUGCAUAGAAAUCUUUGUUAAAGUAAAGUUGUACUAACAUUAACUUCUCCCAUUAUUAAGUGUUAGAUUUGAAUUAAAGAGAUAUGAUGGAUCUCAACAAGAUAGCAGAGACCCAAACCACUUGAAAAAACAAAAGACAUUCACAUAAUCUUUACCUGUUCCUCUACAAACUUUUUUCCAAUGUAUAAAGGGAAUCAUCAAAUGCUAAUUGGAUUAUUUUUUUUGCUUUUAAGUGUUGCCAGAUACAUUUAUAAACAUAUAACAGUAAUUUGGUUAACUUGUAAAGAGAGUCCAUUUGGUCUAGUUAUAAAUAUGUGUUUUGAUACUGUGUUGUAUUAAUGGUAAAUAAUAAACUGUAUAUUCAGAAAUUAUUGCGAUUUUGUCCCUUUAGACUAAAAUGCGAUUUAUUUUUGCAAUAUUGACAAAAUCCUGUUUAAUCCAUACAAUAAAUUUCAGAUUGUGAGUUUAAAUAAUUGGGAUUAGCUGACACUGACACUACACCUCAGUGCCAGUACCAUCAACUUAAACACUUACACAACACCUCAGUGCCAGAACAAUCAUCUGACACUGACACUACACCUCAGUGCCAAUACAAUCAACUUAAACACUGACACUACACCUCCGUGCCAAUACAAUCAACUUAAACACUGACACUACACCUCAGUGCCAGUACAAUCAACUUUAACACUAACACAACACCUCAGUGCCAGAACAAUCAGCUGCCACUACACCUCAGUGCAAGAACAAUCAGCUGACACUGACACUACACCUCAGUACAAGUACAAUUCACUGACACUGACACUACACCUCAGUGCCAGUACAAUCAACUUAAACACUGACACUACACCUCAGUGCCAGAACAAUCAGCUGCCACUACACCUCAGUACCAGUACAAUCAUCUGACACUGACAGUACACCUCAGUGCCAGUACAAUCAACUUAAACACUGACACUACACCUCAGUGCCAGUACAAUCAACUUAAACACUGACACAACACCUCUGUGCCAGAAGAAUCAUCUGACACUACACCUCAGUGCCAGUACAAUCAACUUAAACACUGACACUGCACCUCAGUGCCAGAACAAUCAGCUGACACUGACACUACACCUCAGUACUAGUACCAUCAACUUAAACACUGACAUAACACCUCUGUGCCAGAAUAAUCAACUUAAACACUGACACAACACCUCAGUGCCAGAACAAUCAGCUGACACUGACACUACACCUCAGUGCCAGUACAAUCAACUUAAACACUGACUACACCUCAUGCAGUUCCAACCACUUAAACACUGACACUACACCUCAGUGCCAGUACAAUCACUGAUCAACAUCAGUCACUGACACUACCUCAGUGCAGUAAUUAACUUUAACACUUGACACUACCCUCCCAGUCAAGCAGAAAACUGACACUACACCUCAGUGUCAGACCACAGCUGAGACUACACCUCAGUGUCAGUACAAUCAGCUGACCACUGUGCACUAACCUCAGUGCCAGUACAGUCAGCUUAAACACUGAUAAUACACCUCACUGCCAGUACCAUCAGCUUAAACACUAACACUACACAUCAGUGCCAGUACCAUCAGCUGACACUGACACUACACUCAGUGCCAGUACAAUCAGCUUAAACUGACACUACACCUCAGUGCAAUACAAUCAGCUAGACACUGACACCACACCUCAGUGCCAGUACAAUCAGCGUAAAAACUGACCCUACACCUCAGUGCCAGUAAAAUCAACUGACACUGACACUACACCUCAUUGCUAGUAUCAUCAGCUUAAAAACUGACACUAAACCUCAGUGUCAUUAUUAUCAGUUAUAACACUGACACUACACUUCAAUGCCUGUAACAUCAGCUUAAACUCUGACACUACACCUCAGUGCCAAUACAAUCAGCUUUAACUCUGACGUUUUACCUCAGUGCCUAUACAAUCAGCUUAAACACUGCAAUACAUACCAGUCUCAGUACUGUCUUCUUAAACACUUACAAUAUACCUAAGUACCAGUAAUAUCAGCUUAAACACUGAAACUACACCUCAGUGCCUAUACAAUCAGCACAAACACUGACACUACAUUUCAGUGCCAAUAUCAUCAGCUUAUAACACUGACACUACACCUCAGUGCACAUACAAUUAGCUGACAAUGACAAUACACCUCAUUGCCAGUACAAUCAGCUCAAAUACUGUAAUACUUAUCAGUCUCAAUAUUGUCUUAAACACUGACAGAACACCUCAGUGCCAGUUAUAUAAACUAAAAACACUGACAAUACACCUCAGUGCCUGUACCAUGAGCUUAAGCACUGACACAUCACCUGAGUACCAGUACAACUAGAUUAAACACUGACAAUACACUUCAGUGCCAGUACAAUCAGAUUAAACACUGACACUACACCUUAGUGUCAGUACCAUCAGCUUAAACACUAACACUACACCUCAGUGCCAGUACAAUCAGUGUAAAUACUGACACUACACCUUAGUGCCUGUACAAUCAGCUUUAAAACACUGACACCACACCUUAGUGCCAUUACAAUCAGCUUAAACACUGAAUCUGUUAACUUCAGUAUCAUUGGCUUAAAUUCUAACAAUGUUAGCUGAAAUACUGACUUUCUUUGCCUUUGAAAUACACUGACUAAAAUAUAUAUGCUACCAAGUCGGAAAACAUUGGAUAAAAAUAAAAAUGAGAAAAAAAAAGUUAUGAACAUAAAAGAACUCAUUGUUAAUGUUCAGGUGUUUCAAGAUUAUAUCUGUCUGUUUAUUAGGUGAAAAACACAUGAAAUUGUCAUUAAGCCUUUUUUCAUAAUAAUAAUAUUUCAUUAAACACAUCCAAUAGUGUCUUUUCUGUUAGAGCUAUUGAUAUUUCCAAGUAGAUAAGAUCUAGAAAUAGUAUACCUACAUCAAUAUGGUAUGUCCUAGUCAAGAUGGACAGAUUUUUCCAUCACAGUAGAAGGUAUGGGCUGUUGUUGGUUUUUUUAAUUCAUUUUCAGUAUAUCUGGGUCACUUAAUAAAUUUUUCUCAUGAUAAGAAUUAAAUUGGCAACCAUUUGAUAUUUAGUGUAAUAGGGGUUUGGGUCAGGUGUAUUUGGAAAAUAAAUUUUAUCUGUUAUAUUUAGAGGAGAUAUUUUAUUCGAACUGAAUCUUUUUUUUGGUUGAUUGUCUAAUAGGAUUUUUACCUCACUUCAGGGUCCAAACUGCAAAGCCAAUGUCCUCAUUUGAUAGUUUAAAUUCAGUGUAAUUUGACCUUUCAAAUACAAUUUAACUUUCACACUGCCUUUUGUAUUAUGAUACAAAACAUGAAAAAGAUUGCAAUGCAUAUUUUGAAAUGAAAGGUGAUAUCUUCCCUGAAUUAUUUACAGGUCAAGAAGCCAGUCUUGCUGCUCUUUCUCAUUUUUUAAAUGGACCACCAAAAAAAAAAGAUUGCACAAUCAAACAAUUUAAAACAUAAUGUGAUUUAAUAUUUAAAUCAUUCUUCAAAAAAGAGAUUAAUAAUGACAAUAAAGUUUAAAUAAAGGUUUAAAAUUUCAGUUUGUAGAUUUAUAGAUUAAGAUACUGUUUCAUCUUGGUGUUAUAUUUCUUGUUUCUUUUCAUUUAAUGCAUUUUUAUAAAAGAUUUAUUUUUGACAAAUUAAAAUAAAAUGCAACUUCAUCCUAUCUGAGGAACAUCUGUGUUGUGUUGUCCUGCAGUCAAGAAAUAUAUAUGUAUUUUUGUAAUGUUGAAAGCUAUUCAAAAACAAUAAGGAUUACUAUUGACUAUCCUUAUGGUCUUAUUUUUCUUAUAAAGGUUUUUAAAAACAAAAUCCAUCUUUAAAUUAUUUUUUUCAAAAUAUAUGGAAAUAAAUACCAAUGAUUUGUACUGUGGAUUAAUUUAUUGUCAUGGUGAUUUAUAUUCAUGGAUUAAUGAAAAUUGUUUAUUUUCAUGGAUGUUUGAUUUUUUGUGAUUUUGUCAAAGUCUGCAUAUAAGCCAAUAGAUUUGUGGUUUAUUUUUACCCAUGGAAUCCACGAAAAUUAAUAUUCCAUGAAUAAUGAUGAAUCCAUAGUAAAGCAUAACACUUCAAAAGCGUAUAAACACACAUGUAGGACUGAUAUUUCAAACUUUAAUAUUUUGGUUAAGUUUUGCAAACAAGUCCUCAAAAACAUAUAUUCAUUUAUAUUCCUGGGUACCAAUUUUUAUGGAGGGGGCAUUAAUUUUUACCCUUAUCCCUCUUAUGAAUAGAAUAGAAUAGAAUAGAAUAUUUUUAUUUACCAAAUUAGGGCCCCAGGAGGGCAUAUAGCAUACAGACAAAUUAUUAUUAAACAAUAACAUAUGCAAUACACAAACAAUAAAAAUAUGUAACAAUGUUAAAAAAAUAAUAAAAUAAAAUAAUAUACCAAGAAAAUACACUCAACAAAAUGUAGCAAUGUAUUAUUAUCAAUGAAUACUAUGUUGACCUUGACUCAAGUGCACCGGUAAGUGUAUUUUCACUUUGAAAAGACAAACAGUUUGUGCGGAGAAAUCUCAAUAUAAAAAAUACAACAACAAAAAAAAACAACAAUUAAGCACUCGCACAUUUGACUAUGUGGUAUACUGCAAAUAACAAGUAUAUUUAAUAAAGGAUAUUUGAUAUGACUUAUCUGCAGAAAGUAUGUACGUACAUCCAUCUGUCUGUCCAUCUGUACUUCCGAAAUUUGGUUUAUGUUCUAUAACUUUAGUUUUACCAAAUGUUAUGAAACUUAAUCACAAUGCUUAUUACCUCAAAAUACAGAUCAAGGUUGAAUUUUGGUUGUUUCAAUUAACUGUUCUACAGUUAUGCCCCUGUACAAAUGAAAAAAGCUUUCCAUGCUCCAAAUUAAGUUACCCUUUACCAAAUGUUAUGAUAAUUAUAUUCAUUGCUUAUCACCACAAAAUACAGAUAAAGUUUGAAUUUUGGUUGUUUCACUUUUACUGUUCUUCAGUGAUGUCUGUUUAUAACGUUACUGUGGAUUCAUUUAUUUUCGUGGGUACCAGUUUUCGUGGAUUGAGGAAAACUUACAUGUUAGUGGAUAUUUGAUUUCGUGGUUUUGCUGAAGUCUGCAUACAAGCCAUAAGAAAAUUUGUCAUUCGUUGACAAUUUAUUUUCAUGGUUCAACUGUUCCCACGAAAUCCACGAAAAUUGGUAUCCAACGAAUAAUAAUGAUUUCACAGUAUAUGGUAUGCAAGCAGCAGCUUCAUCUGUGUCCCAUGGACACAGUACCCAUUUAUUUGGUUUUGUCAAAGUUUGCAUACAUUCUUAUUGAACAUUUGUAAUUUGUUGAACCUCAUAUUUAUAACCAGGAAAAGCGCAAAAAUUGUUAUCCAUGGAAUACUAAUGAAUCCACAGUAACUUCAAACAAGCUUAUCUUUACAUUCUUUGGAUAAGAAAUCUUGACAUUUUUAUUUAUAUUAAAAGAAGUAUCCCAAUCUACCUCUAACAAAAUUUGACAAAAAAAUCCUUUUUUACAUAAUUUGAAUAUUUAUAUCAAGUAUACAUAGUACACUGAAAAGUACAAUGAACAAUGAAUUGCUGUGCAGCAUAUUUAAAUAUAGAAAUUCCAGAAAUGAUUUCCUUUGUUUUCAAUGUUUUCAAUCUUCUUCUUUGAAAAAAAAAUUGCAAGUGACUGACAAGUAAAAACACUUAAAAGAUAAAGUAGCAAUGGAUCUUUUAUCACCUCUGUUUCUUUUCUGACAACUCUGAUAAACUUUGAGGAAAACAACUUGUUCAAGAAAAAAGUGGGUAUCUUUCAAAAAAGAUUAUGUAAACAAAUCUCAUGCUAUCAGAUAUACUGCUCUACAAAAUAAAUUUCAGAUGAAAAUAAUUAAUUACAAGUCAUUAUAACAAAGAUACAUUAAUGUUGUUGACAGGCUUAGGAUUUUCCCUAUCAUAUUCAGAAUUUCUUGGAAGGUUUUCUUUAAUAAUUGUGUACAUUGCUUUAGGGAAUAACCCACAUAUAUGUACGGUGAGAUUUUGGUUCUUGCAUGACCAUUGGGAUUGGUAAUAUUAUCUAGUUAUCUUUGAUAACUAUGACAAAAAUAAAUGGUGAUAUCAUACACUAUUUUUAUAAAGAUAAAAAAGAAGAUGUGGUAUGAUUGCCAAUGAGACAACUAUCCACAAAAGACCAAAAUGACACAGACAUUAACAAUUAUAGGUCACUGUACGGCCUUCAACAAUGAGCAAAGCCCAUACCGCAUAGUCAGCUAUAAAAGGCCCCGAUAAGACAAUGUAAAACAAUUCAAAUGAGAAAACUAACGGCCUUAUUUAUGUAUAAAAAUGAACGAAAAACAAAUAUGUAACACAUAAACAAACGACAACCACUGAAUUACAGGCUCCUGACUAGAAGGGAGAAGGCCUGGAUACUUCAUACCUUGUAUGCAGAUGCCUUAUGUUACAAAAUUCGGUCUGCCGUCAACUAUAUUUGGUGUACAGAUUGAUUUUAAUGUAUGUAUAUUUCCUUCUGGCAAGAUUUGUGUGACCAUGAUCUCAUUUCUUAUUUCAUGGUCAAUGUUAAAUUUUUUCAUGGUUUUGUCUGUCAACAAAUACAAACAGCAAACUAUGUGCAUGGAACAAUUGUUAGGUGUAAAUGUCUGUCUGGAAGGUUCAUCUGACCUUGACAUCAUUUUAAUUGCUGACUAGUCACUAAAGUUUUCAUGGUUAUGUUUGUUUUUCAAAUACUGUUAGCAAAAUGUCAAUUAAACUUGGUGUAUUUAAUUAGUUUAUGGUGUACAUGUCUGAGUGGCAUGGUUCAUUUAACCUUGACCUCAAUGUCUUGGUUCAUUGAUCAAUGUUAAAUUCUAUAAGGUCUGUUAACCAUAAGCAAUAGAUUAAAUAUAUUUGGUAUAUGUUAUGAUUGUGAGAUGUUCAUGUCUGUCUGGGUUAAUCUAACCAAGGCCUCAUUUACAUUGGUCAUAUUGAAAGUGUUAAUUUUAUUUAAAACUUAUAGUAAAGCAUAAAUUCAAUCAUGACAAGUAAAGCAGACGAGAGAUUUCAGUGUGUGCACUCCUGUUUUAACCAGUUUUAGUCUUUUGUGUAGGAACUGUGUGUAGAUACCAUAAAUGAUCACCAAGGCAAGAUUACAAAUAAGUCUUAAUACAGUAGAAACUGUCAAAAAUAUUUGCAAUUAGAAUUCUAAUGAACCAAUUUAAAGCAAACUAGACAUGAAUGAUGCUAAGUAUGUUUAGAUUUUAGUUUGUAAAUUAAAUUCUGGUCUAUCAAAAAACAUUGCAACCAUGACAAUAGAAAGUUUUUGACACCCUUCAGUUCAAGUUUUAAGGAGUAUAAUGGAAUCACCAUAUUAACUGUCUUUCCAUCUGUCUUACAAUGUGCUUUGUAACAGCAACUUCUUUUAAAUAGCUAAAGGGAUAUUGGUGAAACUUGACAUGAAAUCUAACCUUACCUGGAGAUGUGCAUAUAGCAAUAAAAUCACUGUCUUUCAUGUUAAAGGGGAAGUUAUCAAAUUUAUUUACUACAGUACUGUAAUAUGUGGAAAAGUCACACUCCUAAAGCGUUAUUCAAAUGGAUGAAACUUAAAAGUAGAACACAAGCUGAGGAUGUGCUAGAGGGAAUAUAAUUGUGGUCCAAAAAGGAAUAAAUGUACCUGCUUCAAUAUGUCUUCUGAAAGCUCUUCCCCCUUCUAAACUAUUUGAAGAAUAUUUAUCACACUCUAUACAAUGGUAGUUCCCUCAUGCUAAAAUUAAACAAAACUGUAUUUCUUAUUUAAAUAUUGCAAUAUGUUGCAAUAAUCUCCCCUAAAAAUCAGUCUUUAAAUCUGAUGCGAACAUUAUAAAUACUGUGAACCAACUCACUUUCAUGAACACUUAAUUUUUGAAACUUUUAAGUCAUGCUAAAUUACUGAAAUCUUCAAAAUUUUAGCAUUUGAGUUAAAUUUUAGACUGUUUACAUAACAUAUAUGUAGGACUCUAAGGUUCAAUGGUACUCUAAAGUGCGAUGGUAACACUAAAGUGCGAUGGUCUACGCUUAAGUACGAUGGUGUCUCACGCUAAAGUACGAUGGUUGUUUGUUUGCUAAAGUGUGACGGAUAUAGCACGCUAAAGUGCUAUGGAACAAAAGAGAAAGAUUCAAAGGAACUAAUGUUAAAAACAAGUCUUUUUGCAAAAUCUAGUCGGCUAUGAUAUUACAUAUAAUGCGAUAGGCUUUUACUUUACCGGUAGUCUUAUGUGACUGUUUCUAAAUUAAGAAGACAAAUUUUCAAUUUGCAACUGGCAAGGGGAUGUGUUGACAUUAAAAGUCUGUGUAAAUGACAAGCUACAUCCAAUACGCCGCUCGUCCUGAACAUGCAUGAACUAUUUGCCACUGGACAGAAUAAAUAAAAUUUAUAUUUCCCCUUUUUCAUAGCGAGUAUUAAUACAUGUUAUAUUUAACCAUAAUGUACACACUGAUGUUUUAAUGGACAAUUUCUGUGUUACGCUUGAAAACGUGAACCUUUAUUUUACCGAUGUUUGUACUCUUCAAUAAAAUCAAUAUUUAAAUAUAAACGUCUGUUCGCUUCCAUUAUUUAUUUAUUUCAUAUUCCGGUAUGUUCAUUUUUGGUUUGUAUAAACGACUGUUAACGUCAUAAUCCAACUACAUUUGUACGUCUAUACUUUGGCAGACCAUCGCACUUUAGCGUAUGGAGGCAUCUGACUUUAGCGUAGACCAUCCUACUUUAGCGUCCCCAUCGCACUUUAGAGUCCUACAUAUAUAUAUAUAAAGGUUGAGAGUGAACAUUUUCAUUUUUGACAAAAAUCAUCUGAAAAGUGACAUAUUGGGUAAUAUUUGACAGAUUUUUCAUAUUUGAGCUUGAAUUUGAGCACAUUUAAUGACUAAUUCAGUUCAAAUCUUUCACAAAAACUAAUUAAAAAGUCUGCUGAAGUAGACACUUAAGUAUUUAAAAAGUGUUCAAAGUUUAUCAUCAGAUGAACCUGAAAUUUAGACCCAAAAUCGGUUCUUACCGGACGAAAUUGAUUUGAUAGAAUAAUUAUGAUAUAUUGUCAUAUUUAUGUAAUAUUGUUUAUUAUAUUAUGAGUAUGUUCCUGGCAACUAAGUAUUUGACAGGAAUACUCACCUGGACAGAAGUAUAAUCGUAACAGGCAAUCUUAAGAAUAAAGAAUACUUAGAUAUAGGUAGAUGUGGUAUGAGUGCCAAUGAGACAACUCUCCAUCCAAGGAUCAAUUUAUAAAAUUAAACAAUUAUAGGUUAAGGUAAGCCUUCAACACGAGCCUUGGCUCACACUGAACAGCAAGCUAUAAAGGGCCCCAAAAAUUACUAGCUUAAAACCAUUCAAAUUUGUUGUAAAAAAAAACACAAAAAAUACACAAAAAAACUUUUAUGUUUCAGAAGUUCAGUCAUCAGAAUUAUUAAUGAAUUAUAUAUUUUUUCAGCAACUAUGGUGAAGAUUAAAGCAAGGUGAUUAAACCACUGUGUAACCAUGGCAACUUUGACAGAAGAGGUUAAUGGGUUUAGCCAUGGAAAAAGAUCGGUUACCCCAGAUUCUGUUAAUGAAGAACAAGAGGUGAGUAACAAGGAAGAUAACUCUAAGUAUCAGGGAGGAUAACUCUGAAUUAAAGGAAGAAAAUUAUAUGGCUGUAUUAUCAGAAAGAGGUAAGUAUCAGGGAGGAUAACUCUGAUUUAAAGGAAGAAAAUUAUAUGGCUGUAUUAUUAAAGGAAGAAAAUUAUAUGGCUGUAUUAUCAGAAAGAGGUAAGUAUCAGGGAGGAUAACUCUGAUUUAAAGGAAGAAAAUGAUAUGGUUGUAGUUUCAGGGGGAG
Molecule: long non-coding RNA, 16373 nt
Filed under: Mytilus galloprovincialis (Mediterranean mussel)
Lineage: Eukaryota; Metazoa; Mollusca; Bivalvia; Mytilida; Mytilidae
Source: RNAcentral